This 471-nucleotide long non-coding RNA is filed under the name Suricata suricatta (meerkat). RNAcentral describes it as "lncRNA (ENSSSUG00005000997.1)". Lineage: Eukaryota; Metazoa; Chordata; Mammalia; Carnivora; Herpestidae. The record is from RNAcentral.
CUUGGGGACGGCAGUCGCCAGUAGUUAGAGCAAUAGUUAGAGGACCAAUUAUGUGAACUAUUCAGAAAAUCACAAAAACAUUGUGAAAUAUUUAGAUUGAAAACACUACAACAUUUGCUGUGGAGAAACAGGACUUUGUGGAUUUAUGAAUGGAAAUGAGAUAAUCUGGAUUCUUACAAGAUAGCAGAAAGUAUGAGCAAUGGUUAGCAUCUGGGCAUGCAGGAAGGAGGAAGCCAGUUUCUGGGACUGAGAGCCUGAGUCCAAGAUCAAACAGGAGAGGAGGGUAGCCAUUCCCUCUGGAUUUCCUCCUAAUUAAUGUUGGGGCCACUUCCAUGAUGCACACCUGUGUCACGCUGUCUUUGCAGCUUCAGCUCUAACAAAGACAUCAGAACAACAAUUUUAUAAAUAACCAAUAAAGUUUUGUCUUAAAUUUUAAAAAUCUAUUUCUAAUGUUUUUGACUUCAUCCUUGC